ACGUCAAGUCCUCAUGGCCCUUAUGCCCAGGGCUACACACGUGCUACAAUGGGCGGUACAAAGGGUAGCGAUGCCGCGAGGUGAAAGCCAAUCCCAAAAGCCGUCCACAGUUCGGAUUGGAGUCUGCAACUCGACUCCAUGAAGCCGGAAUCGCUAGUAAUCGUGGAUCAGCAUGCCACGGUGAAUACGUUCCCGGGCCUU
RNAcentral lists this ribosomal RNA (201 nucleotides) under uncultured Desulfobacterium sp. RNAcentral describes it as "partial 16S ribosomal RNA". It matches the Rfam family "Bacterial small subunit ribosomal RNA", at positions 1182 to 1382 of the family's 1533-position model. The record is from RNAcentral. Lineage: Bacteria; Pseudomonadati; Thermodesulfobacteriota; Desulfobacteria; Desulfobacterales; Desulfobacteriaceae.